CACUCCUACGGGAGGCAGCAGUGGGGAAUUUUGGACAAUGGGGGCAACCCUGAUCCAGCAAUGCCGCGUGAGUGAAGAAGGCCUUCGGGUUGUAAAGCUCUUUUGUCAGGGAAGAAACGGUAGUAGCGAAUAACUAUUACUAAUGACGGUACCUGAAGAAUAAGCACCGGCUAACUACGUGCCAGCAGCCGCGGUAAUACGUAGGGUGCAAGCGUUAAUCGGAAUUACUGGGCGUAAAGCGUGCGCAGGCGGUUGUGUAAGUCAGAUGUGAAAUCCCCGGGCUCAACCUGGGAAUUGCAUUUGAGACUGCACGGCUAGAGUGUGUCAGAGGGGGGUAGAAUUCCACGUGUAGCAGUGAAAUGCGUAGAUAUGUGGAGGAAUACCGAUGGCGAAGGCAGCCCCCUGGGAUAACACUGACGCUCAUGCACGAAAGCGUGGGGAGCAAACAGGAUUAGAUACCCUGGUAGUCCC
This 471-nucleotide ribosomal RNA is filed under the name uncultured organism. Its description in RNAcentral is "partial 16S ribosomal RNA". It matches the Rfam family "Bacterial small subunit ribosomal RNA", at positions 334 to 797 of the family's 1533-position model. The record is from RNAcentral.